Molecule: ribosomal RNA, 1485 nt
Filed under: uncultured prokaryote
Description: partial 16S ribosomal RNA
Rfam family: Bacterial small subunit ribosomal RNA
Source: RNAcentral
AGAGUUUGAUCCUGGCUCAGGAUGAACGCUAGCGGCAGGCCUAACACAUGCAAGUCGAGGGGCAGCACGGGAUAGUUUACUAUUUUGGUGGCGACCGGCGCACGGGUGCGUAACGCGUAUGCAACCUACCCUUAACUGGAGGAUAGCCCGGAGAAAUUCGGAUUAAUACUCCAUAGUACUGAUGAUUUGCAUAAUGAAUCAGUUAAAGUUUCGGCGGUAUAAGAUGAGCAUGCGCCCUAUUAGCUAGUUGGUGAGGUAACGGCUCACCAAGGCAACGAUAGGUAGGGGGUCUGAGAGGGUUAUCCCCCACACUGGUACUGAGACACGGACCAGACUCCUACGGGAGGCAGCAGUGAGGAAUAUUGCACAAUGGACGAAAGUCUGAUGCAGCCAUGCCGCGUGCAGGAUGAAUGCCCUAUGGGUUGUAAACUGCUUUUAUAUAGGAAGAAACUUUUCUACGUGUAGAAAACUGACGGUACUAUAAGAAUAAGGACCGGCUAACUCCGUGCCAGCAGCCGCGGUAAUACGGAGGGUCCAAGCGUUAUCCGGAUUUAUUGGGUUUAAAGGGUCCGUAGGCGGGAAAUUAAGUCAGUGGUGAAAGCCUACAGCUCAACUGUAGAACUGCCAUUGAAACUGAUUUUCUUGAAUAUAGAUGAAGUGGGCGGAAUAUAUCAUGUAGCGGUGAAAUGCAUAGAUAUGAUAUAGAACACCGAUUGCGAAGGCAGCUCACUAAACUAAUAUUGACGCUGAGGGACGAAAGUGUGGGGAGCGAACAGGAUUAGAUACCCUGGUAGUCCACACCGUAAACGAUGAUUACUCGAUGCUAGCGAUACUGUUAGUGUCUAAGCGAAAGCGAUAAGUAAUCCACCUGGGGAGUACGGUCGCAAGAUUGAAACUCAAAGGAAUUGACGGGGGCCCGCACAAGCGGUGGAGCAUGUGGUUUAAUUCGAUGAUACGCGAGGAACCUUACCUGGGCUUAAAUGUAUUUUGACAGGCUGGGAAACCAGUCCUUCUUCGGACAUUUUGCAAGGUGCUGCAUGGCUGUCGUCAGCUCGUGCCGUGAGGUGUUGGGUUAAGUCCCGCAACGAGCGCAACCCCUAUCUUUAGUUGCCAGCGAGUAAUGUCGGGGACUCUAAAGAAACUGCCUACGCAAGUAGAGAGGAAGGCGGGGACGACGUCAAGUCAUCACGGCCCUUACGUCCUGGGCCACACACGUGCUACAAUGGUGGAUACAGAGGGCAGCUACCCCGCGAGGGGAUGCAAAUCUCGAAAGUCCAUCUCAGUUCGGAUUGGAGUCUGCAACUCGACUCUAUGAAGCUGGAAUCGCUAGUAAUCGCGCAUCAGCCAUGGCGCGGUGAAUACGUUCCCGGGCCUUGUACACACCGCCCGUCAAGCCAUGGAAGCUGGGGGUGCCUGAAGUCGGUAACCGUAAGGAGCUGCCUAGGGUAAAACUGGUAACUGGGGCUAAGUCGUAACAAGGUAACC